This is a long non-coding RNA of Peromyscus californicus insignis, 2073 nucleotides long. RefSeq lists it as uncharacterized. The record is from RefSeq and is a predicted model, not a curated record. The transcript is spliced from 2 exons. NCBI's taxonomy places the organism in Eukaryota, Metazoa, Chordata, Mammalia, Rodentia, Cricetidae.
GUCAAGUAAUAAAAAGGUGUAGCACUUUGCUCAGACAGGAUUGUAGUAGUUCACAGUGCCUCCUUCCCUACCCCAACAGGGUCUCAUGUGGCUCAGGCUGACCUCUAACCUGCUUUCUAGCUGACUAUGACCUGGAACUCGUGUGUUACUCUACGUGUGUGUGCAGUUCUGGGGACUGAACCCAGGGUUUCAUGCAAGCUAGUCAAGCACUGUACCAGCUGAGCCACAUUCCCCGUCCGCCUCUCCUUUUAAACAGUGAUGCUCCACGGGCUUAAGUAACGUCCUGGGGAAGUUUGUAGAUUUGGGGGGUGUAGGGAAUCAGUGACCACACCUGGAGCAAUGGUGUGAGAUAGGCUAAAUUCACUCCUGCAUGGCAGGGUACGUAUGGCAGCCCCUUCCUUUGUUAAACACUACCCGGCUGGCUUCCUGUGCUCAAUCAGCUGUGUUAAAUGCUCCCUAGCUUCCUGCCCUAGAGCACCAUCUGCCAGCGGAGGAUAAGAAAGGGGAAGGAAGCCUUUGUUCUGUGCACAAUGUGGACUAGAUGGGCGGGGAGGGAAGGAACAGCAGGCUGGGUGUGUUGAGGUCAGCCUUGGGAAGCACGUGAGGGCCAAGUGCUGUCCUGACAACUGGAGAGCUGAUGCCAGAGGACUGCUGUCAGGGCGGCCGAGCCAAGCUCUGUCCAGUCUCCUGUGUGCCACAGUGGGGUCCUGGGGGCCUUCUGUUUGAAACUUUAAACAGGUUACGGAAGAAAGGCUAGGAAGGGGAACGAGACAGGUAUGUUUUCCUGGUGUGAUUGUGUGUGUGUGUGUGUGUGUGUGUGUUGCUUUAGUUAAUAUGGGGACUCAUUUGGCUUAAUUCCCAUGGGUUCCAGUCACGUAAUUCAUAAGCAGUUUGAGUAUAAGACAAAAUGUCAGCUUGUAUUUAUAUAAUAGUCAAAAUGCCUUUGGUGGGGUGCUGGCAUGGGGGCCUCUUGGUGGUAGAGUAAAGCUGCAGUCACGCGCCUAAGGUUAUAUUUGUAGCCAAGUAAGAAAGCAGGCUCUGAAAAAGCAGUGGUGUGUGUGUGUGUGUGUGUGUGUGUGUGUGUGUGUGUGUGUGUGUGUGUGUGUGUGUACAGUGACAGGAUGCUGCUUCUGGGAGGAGGAAGUAGGAAGUGUCAAGAGGAACUUGAGACUCAGGAAAACAGCUAAGGGCUCCAAUUAUUCCAGGCAGAGACUUGGGAGGGGUUAGAGUACCAAUUUGAAGGAGCCUGGAUUCAUGUCUGAGACCCAAAUCCAGACGUCUCUGGCCAGUAAGACACCCCUGAGUCUUUUCUCAGAGUAGGACAAAGUGGAGUGUUAAUAGAUUUCUUUCCAAGGGAAAGUCAGAACAGUCAGUUUAGGAAGACUUCCAUGACAUGUGGCCCCUGUGAAGAGAAGGCCUGUACCAAGUUCUUCCUGCUCAGGCCCUGCGUCUUUAGACUCAGGAGCCCAGGCUGGUCUCAACCCUUUUGAGGCUGAGCAGUAACUGUCUACAGCUGCUAUGAUCGAUGCUUUGUUGACAGAAACCCUUCCCUAAAGCAGAAUAUCAAACAGAGGAACCUGCCAGUUGAACUGGAGCUAACUCGGAAAUCUGAGGGCUCCCACUGACGACCCCAGAGACAACUGAAUUCUGAUUCCUGGGCCAGUGAAAUGGCUGGGUGGGUAAAUCACUGUUGAGAAAACCCGAGGACCUGGUUUUGAGAGAACCAGCUCUCAGAUCUGAUCUCUCCGUCUGUGCCUUGCACACACCUGGACUGUGUCACACAUACACACUUAUUCAGAACAUCACCAGAGACUUACAAAAGCAAAAGAAUGCGUUUCUUGAGGGCUGGCACAACAGCUCAGAAGAGAAGAAAGUGCAUGCUUGUGCAGCCCUGACAAUCUCACUGGAUACUUGAAAGCUAUGUAAAAAAGUUGAAAAUAUGGGGGUACAGCAAGAUGGCAGGCAGGCAGAGAGGGGAAGAAUCCAGGGGAAGCAUGCCUAUGCCCUUGUCUCAAAAACAGGGUGGAAGGGGCCUCCCACACUACAUAAAGAAUACAUCUCCUUGUAGACUUG